CAACCUGAAAAAAGCAAACUUUAGGAUUAAUUUAUACCAAACCUUUAAUAUAAAAAUAAGGAGAUGUGGAAUAAUUACCAAUGAGACAAUUAUCCUUCCGAGUUUAUCUGUUAAUUAAGUUUGCACGCUGUCAACAGUUAGUGUAUCACAUACAGUUUCACGGUGAUAAUUAACUUACUUUUAGUCAAUUAAAUUUCAUAUGUGAUCUAAUGAUGCCGAAAUGUAAUUAUUUUCAAUCCCUAAACAAUAUUUGAACUCGACACGACAAAGUAGUACAGUAGGCGUGUUAGGUUCAUGUCAUGAUGUGGCCAAUAAUUAAUUAUAUCCUAAAUCAGAGUGGAAUCUGGUUUGUGAAAUGUCAUACUAAAAAAAGAUUAGGUGUCAAAUGGAACCAAGAGAUAAUUAUAUGAAAGUGAUGGAAAGACUUCCUUUUGAACCCCCUGGGUUAAUGGAAUAAGCCUAGUCAUACAUGAAAGGGUUCAAAGGAGUGUUUGUUAAAACUUUGAUAAUUUUGAUACUUUACUGAAGCCAGAACUCACUGUAGGCCAAAAAAAUUAAUUGUGCUAUCUACAUUGGAAAAGAUACCUCUACUUAAAACAAUUUGAACAUGUUGUCUAUUUGUAUACAACUUCUCCUAAACACAUUGAGAUCCCAGUGGUUCAAAAUUGGUAAUAUAGAUUUUCCUGCAACUUAUGUACUUUGAUAAUAGGUUUAACCCAUGGUUCGAUAUAUCACAGAUUUACAAAUGUUUUAUAUUUUAUUGGCCUUCAAUAAUUGACAUGUUAACAGUAUUCUACAUUGUCUGUUAAUUCUCACUCAAUUUGAACUUAGUUUUAUAUUACAUAUGAAUUGUUAUCUGAAGUGGAACUUAAUAAAUAGUUAAUCCAUUCUGCAAACAGUCAAAAAGGCAAAAACCAAUAAUCAAUGUUUCCCUUCAAAUACAUUUAAAGUUAUAUAUCUAUCAAAGUCAUUUAGUUAUAGACAUUUUUCACAUUUUGCCAUCUAAAAGUAUAUUUGACUUUUGUACACUAAAUAUUAAAUAUGUGCAUGUAUGCAUACUUAUGUAAGUUUGGUGAUUGUUUAAUUUCACACAAAUGUAUGAAGAUUUUAAAUAUAGCUUUAGCUGACUUAAACUGUUCUUUAUUAUGGGGGCUCCAACUAUCUUCAUCAUUAAAUCAUGCCUGAAGUUCUGUACAUUACAUGUAAAUCAUGCCUGAAGUUCUGUACAUUACAUGUAAAUCAUGCCUGAAGUUCUGUACAUUACAUGUAAAUCAUGCCCAAAGUUCUGUACAUUACAUGUAAAUCAUGCCUGAAGUUCUUUACAUUAUAUGUAAAUCAUGCCUGAAGUUCUGUACAUUAUAUGUAAAUCAUGCCUGAAGUUCUUUACAUUAUAUGAAAAUUAUGCCUGAAGUUCUGUACAUUAUAUGUAAAUCAUGCCUGAAGUUCUUUACAUUAUAUGUAAAUCAUGCCUGAAGUUCUGUACAUUAUAUGUAAAUCAUGCCUGAAUUUCUGUACAUUAUAUGUAAAACAUGCCUGAAGUUCUUUACAUUAUAUGUAAAUCAUGCCUGAAGUUCUUUACAUUAUAUGUAAAUCAUGCCUGAAGUUCUGUACAUUACAUGUAAAUCAUGCCUGAAGUUCUGUACAUUAUAUGUAAAUCAUGCCUGAAUUUCUGUACAUUAUAUGUAAAUCAUGCCUGAAUGUAAAUCAUGCCUGAAGUUCUGUACAUUAUAUGUAAAUCAUGCCUGAAUGUAAAUCAUGCCUGAAGUUCUGUACAUUAUAUGUAAAUCAUGCCUGAAGUUCUGUACAUUACAUGUAAAUCAUGCCUGAAGUUCUGUACAUUAUAUGUAAAUCAUGCCUGAAGUUCUGUACAUUAUAUGUAAAUCAUGCCUGAAGUUCUUUACAUUAUAUGUAAAUCAUGCCUGAAGUUCUUUACAUUAUAUGUAAAUCAUGCCUGAAGUUCUGUACAUUACAUGUAAAUCAUGCCUGAAGUUCUUUACAUUAUAUGUAAAUCAUGUCCGAAGUUCUGUACAUUACAUGUAAAUCAUGCCUGAAGUUCUGUACAUUACAUGUAAAUCAUGCCUGAAGUUCUUUACAUUACAUGUAAAUCAUGCCUGAAGUUCUUUACAUUAUAUGUAAAUCAUGCCCGAAGUUCUGUACAUUACAUGUAAAUCAUGCCUGAAGUUCUGUACAUUAUAUGUAAAUCAUGCCUGAAGUUCUGUACAUUACAUGUAAAUCAUGCCUGAAGUUCUGUACAUUACAUGUAAAUCAUGCCUGAAGUUCUUUACAUUAUAUGUAAAUCAUGCCCGAAGUUCUGUACAUUACAUGUAAAUCAUGCCUGAAGUUCUGUACAUUAUAUGUAAAUCAUGCCUGAAGUUCUGUACAUUACAUGUAAAUCAUGCCUGAAGUUCUGUACAUUACAUGUAAAUCAUGCCUGAAGUUCUUUACAUUAUAUGUAAAUCAUGCCCGAAGUUCUGUACAUUACAUGUAAAUCAUGCCUGAAGUUCUGUACAUUAUAUGUAAAUCAUGCCUGAAGUUCUUUACAUUACAUGUAAAUCAUGCCUGAAGUUCUGUACAUUACAUGUAAAUCAUGCCUGAAGUUCUGUACAUUACAUGUAAAUCAUGCCUGAAGUUCUGUACAUUACAUGUAAAUCAUGCCUGAAGUUCUGUACAUUAUAUAAUCGUUAAAAAACUCAUCAAAGAUACAAUUUGUACUAGAGCUAAUAAAUCAAGACAACACUUGAAGUAAUAAAUUAGAAGUGUAAUAAAAUAUGUUUACUAAUAAUCUUUUCACUGAUUAAGAUUAGGAAAUAUGGAUAAAACAACAAUUUUGACCAUUUUCUCUGCAGUGAUGCAUCUUAUAUAAGGAUCAAUAAUAGCAGAUAUUUGGUGGCUGUUUUACUGUAUAUAGAAUAUCAGAAAGGCAGAGGUGAAAUACUGAUUUAUAUAGGGUUGUAUGCAAAAUUUUGCAAAAAUAUAACAUCAAAAGUUCAUGAAAAUAAGAGUUUUACUCAAUCCACGAAAAUUGGUACCGACGAAAAACAAAUGUAGAUAUAAACACUGUUUUAAAUUUCUUGGCAGACUUAACUUUGUUUGUAAUUUUUUUUUAUAUAAAUAAAUCAUGAGAAAUGUUCAUAACUAAGCAGUUGAUACAAACUGAA
Mytilus californianus (California mussel) is the source of this 3158-nucleotide long non-coding RNA. RefSeq lists it as uncharacterized. The transcript has 3 exons. The record is from RefSeq and is a predicted model, not a curated record. NCBI's taxonomy places the organism in Eukaryota, Metazoa, Mollusca, Bivalvia, Mytilida, Mytilidae.